This is a long non-coding RNA of Perca fluviatilis (European perch), 575 nucleotides long. RefSeq lists it as uncharacterized. NCBI's taxonomy places the organism in Eukaryota, Metazoa, Chordata, Actinopteri, Perciformes, Percidae. The record is from RefSeq and is a predicted model, not a curated record. The transcript has 3 exons.
GAGCAACAGCCUGGACCUGCAGGGGGUGCUGCAGAGCUGCAGGACUCAGAGCAAGAGCCUGGACCUGCAGGGGGCGCUGCAGAGCUGCAGGAACCCACCAGACCUGUUGGAGUGGAGUUUAUUCGACCGGUUGUUGGUUACUUCUGUAACUUGUGUCAGCUGAUCUACGCUGAUGAGGACGAAGCCAAACUGCAGCACUGCAGAAGCCAGACACACUACAGGAAGUACCAGGAGAAGACGGGGAAAGAUCCGUGGACCAACACGACAUGAUAAAAAACAUACAGACUUUGAUUCUUUUAUUCUUCUGAUUUCUUGUUGUGGAACUUGUAUCAGCAUCAGUUUGAAUUAAUUUAAACAAAUGUCUGCAGCAGGAACAUCAGAUGAACACGUAGUUUUGAUUUGUUAAAGAUAGAGAAUACUACGGCAGUUUUAAAAGCUGCCGUGGAAACAUCUGGAGCCACUUAUUUCUGUUCAAAUGAAUAUUUAAGUUUUGUCACAUGAAUGUUUUAUUUUGAAAGACUGUAAAACGACUUCCUAAUAAAAGAGUUUGAACUAUUUGAGGUUUAUUUCAUAAA